RNAcentral lists this long non-coding RNA (439 nucleotides) under Androctonus crassicauda. Lineage: Eukaryota; Metazoa; Arthropoda; Arachnida; Scorpiones; Buthidae. The record is from RNAcentral.
CACAUUACGUAGGAGGUACGCGCGUAGGCGUAGGCGUGUCUGAGUGUAUGGUGACUACGAGGCAGAAAUCUAGACCGAGUGACGUCUCGAACGAAUGCUGGUUGGAUAGCGAUAUUUCGGUAUCGACAAUCGAAAGAAUUGUAACCGAAGGAAGCGAAAUAGCGGAUCACCACCCGGAAAUGGAAAAGGCGCCAUUUAAAUUGUCAACAUCUGGAAAGAAAAGGCCUUUUGCUAUUUGCAAACUGAAGAUUAAAGGUGGGUGUCCACUGUCCCGCUUUCGCCGACCGUUAUUGCCGAGUACCCGGCUUGGCAGUCGUUGAAGACGGAAGAGAAGUGUACAUUUCACCGGCAAACGACAGGACCAAUGAGAUGAUUCAAUUGGUGAGAUUCGUUAAAUCUAACCAAUUGACGAGGAGCUAACAAAAUAAUUUGUCAAAAG